RNAcentral lists this ribosomal RNA (650 nucleotides) under uncultured bacterium. RNAcentral describes it as "bacterial SSU rRNA". It matches the Rfam family "Bacterial small subunit ribosomal RNA", at positions 58 to 705 of the family's 1533-position model. The record is from RNAcentral.
CAAGUCGAACGGUAACAGGAAGUGCUUGCACUUCGCUGACGAGUGGCGGACGGGUGAGUAAUGCUUGGGAACUUGCCUUUGCGAGGGGGAUAACAGUUGGAAACGACUGCUAAUACCGCAUAAUGUCUACGGACCAAACGGGGCUUCGGCUCCGGCGCAAAGAGAGGCCCAAGUGAGAUUAGCUAGUUGGUAAGGUAAAGGCUUACCAAGGCAACGAUCUCUAGCUGUUCUGAGAGGAAGAUCAGCCACACUGGAACUGAGACACGGUCCAGACUCCUACGGGAGGCAGCAGUGGGGAAUAUUGCACAAUGGGGGAAACCCUGAUGCAGCCAUGCCGCGUGUGUGAAGAAGGCCUUCGGGUUGUAAAGCACUUUCAGCUGUGAGGAAAAGUUAGUAGUUAAUACCUGCUAGCCGUGACGUUAACAACAGAAGAAGCACCGGCUAACUCCGUGCCAGCAGCCGCGGUAAUACGGAGGGUGCGAGCGUUAAUCGGAAUUACUGGGCGUAAAGCGCACGCAGGCGGUUUGUUAAGCUAGAUGUGAAAGCCCCGGGCUCAACCUGGGAUGGUCAUUUAGAACUGGCAGACUAGAGUCUUGGAGAGGGGAGUGGAAUUCCAGGUGUAGCGGUGAAAUGCGUAGAUAUCUGGAGGA